RNAcentral lists this ribosomal RNA (47 nucleotides) under Pochonia chlamydosporia. Its description in RNAcentral is "partial 28S ribosomal RNA". Lineage: Eukaryota; Fungi; Ascomycota; Sordariomycetes; Hypocreales; Clavicipitaceae. The record is from RNAcentral.
CUUCUGAACGUUGACCUCGGAUCAGGUAGGAAUACCCGCCUGAACUU